This 23-nucleotide non-coding RNA is filed under the name Arabidopsis thaliana (thale cress). The record is from RNAcentral. Lineage: Eukaryota; Viridiplantae; Streptophyta; Magnoliopsida; Brassicales; Brassicaceae.
AGGGGAUUACGGGCUUCAGUCCA